CCUACGGGAGGCAGCAGUGGGGAAUUUUGCGCAAUGGGGGCAACCCUGACGCAGCGACGCCGCGUGCGGGACGAAGUCAUUCGUGACGUAAACCGCUUUCAGCGAGGAAGAACCAUGACGGUACUCGCAGAAGAAGCCCCGGCUAACUACGUGCCAGCAG
RNAcentral lists this ribosomal RNA (160 nucleotides) under uncultured bacterium. RNAcentral describes it as "partial 16S ribosomal RNA". It matches the Rfam family "Bacterial small subunit ribosomal RNA", at positions 338 to 514 of the family's 1533-position model. The record is from RNAcentral.